UUCUACGGCCACGCUACCCUGAACAAGCCCGAACCCGUCUGAUCUUGGAAGCUAAGCAGGGACGAGUCUGGUUAGUACUUGGAUGGGAGACCACCUAGGAAGACCAGGUGCUGUAGGCA
Molecule: non-coding RNA, 119 nt
Organism: Pteropus alecto (black flying fox)
Lineage: Eukaryota; Metazoa; Chordata; Mammalia; Chiroptera; Pteropodidae
Source: Rfam